CAGAACGUCGUGAGACAGUUCGGUCCCUAUCUGCCGUGGGCGUUGGAGAGUUGAGAGGAGUCGUCCCUAGUACGAGAGGACCGGGAUGAACGGACCUCUGGUGUACCAGUUGUCCUGCCAAGGGCACCGCUGGUUAGCUACGUCCGGAUGGGAUAACCGCUGAAAGCAUCUAAGCGGGAAGCCCACCUCGAGAUGAGCUCUCCCAUCCCCUUGAGGGAGUAAGAGCCCUGGAAGACCACCAGGUCGAUAGGCCGGCGGUAUAAGUGCAGCAAUGCGCUCAGCUGACCGGUACUAAUGCUUCGAGGGCUUGACGG
Molecule: ribosomal RNA, 314 nt
Filed under: Thermoleophilaceae bacterium
Lineage: Bacteria; Bacillati; Actinomycetota; Thermoleophilia; Thermoleophilales; Thermoleophilaceae
Description: partial 23S ribosomal RNA
Rfam family: Bacterial large subunit ribosomal RNA
Source: RNAcentral